GUGGGGAAUCUUGCGCAAUGGGCGAAAGCCUGACGCAGCCAUGCCGCGUGGAUGAUGAAGGUCUUAGGAUUGUAAAAUCCUUUCACCGGUGAAGAUAAUGACUGUAGCCGGAGAAGAAGCCCCGGCUAACUUCGUGCCAGCAGCCGCGGUAAUACGAAGGGGGCUAGCGUUGCUCGGAUUUACUGGGCGUAAAGGGCGCGUAGGCGGACAUUUAAGUCAGGGGUGAAAUCCCGGGGCUCAACCUCGGAACUGCCUUUGAUACUGGGUGUCUUGAGUAGGAGAGAGGUGUGUGGAACUCCGAGUGUAGAGGUGAAAUUCGUAGAUAUGCGGAAGAACACCAGUGGCGAAGGCGACACACUGGCUCAUUACUGACGCUGAGGCGCGAAAGCGUGGGGAGCAAACAGGAUUAGAAACCCUGGUAGUCC
This 425-nucleotide ribosomal RNA is filed under the name uncultured bacterium. RNAcentral's name for it is "partial 16S ribosomal RNA". It matches the Rfam family "Bacterial small subunit ribosomal RNA", at positions 354 to 796 of the family's 1533-position model. The record is from RNAcentral.